This 486-nucleotide ribosomal RNA is filed under the name uncultured bacterium. RNAcentral's name for it is "bacterial SSU rRNA". It matches the Rfam family "Bacterial small subunit ribosomal RNA", at positions 28 to 526 of the family's 1533-position model. The record is from RNAcentral.
GACGAACGCUGGCGGCGUGCUUAACACAUGCAAGUCGAACGAUGAAGGGGUGCUUGCACUCUGGAUUAGUGGCGAACGGGUGAGUAACACGUGAGUAACCUGCCCUUCACUCUGGGAUAACGCUGGGAAACUGGUGCUAAUACUGGAUAUUACCUUUGCCUGCAUGGGUAUUGGUGGAAAGCUUUUGUGGUGGAGGAUGGACUCGCGGCCUAUCAGCUUGUUGGUGGGGUAAUGGCCUACCAAGGCGACGACGGGUAGCCGGCCUGAGAGGGUGACCGGCCACACUGGGACUGAGACACGGCCCAGACUCCUACGGGAGGCAGCAGUGGGGAAUAUUGCACAAUGGGCGAAAGCCUGAUGCAGCGACGCCGCGUGAGGGAUGACGGCCUUCGGGUUGUAAACCUCUUUCAGCUCUGACGAAGCUUUUUGUGACGGUAGGAGCAGAAGAAGCACCGGCUAACUACGUGCCAGCAGCCGCAGUAAGAC